This 240-nucleotide unclassified non-coding RNA is filed under the name soil metagenome. RNAcentral describes it as "partial contains 5.8S ribosomal RNA, internal transcribed spacer 2, and large subunit ribosomal RNA". The record is from RNAcentral.
AACCUUAUGGACCUGCGGGCGUAUACCUGCGGAAGGAUCAUUACCGAGUUUACAACUCCCAAACCCAAUGUGAACCAUACCAAACUGUUGCCUCGGCGGGGUCACGCCCCGGGUGCGUCGCAGCCCCGGAACCAGGCGCCCGCCGGAGGGACCAACCAAACUCUUUCUGUAGUCCCAUCGCGGACGUUAUUUCUUACAGCUCUGAGCAAAAAUUCAAAAUGAAUCAAAACUUUCAACAAU